This 71-nucleotide transfer RNA is filed under the name Sphaerodactylus townsendi. RNAcentral describes it as "tRNA-Ala". Lineage: Eukaryota; Metazoa; Chordata; Lepidosauria; Squamata; Sphaerodactylidae. The record is from RNAcentral.
CCAUGGCUGUAGUGACAAAGUGUCUGCUUAGCAUGCAGAAAGUCCCAGGUUCGAGCCCUGUGAGUGAAGGG